CGCUGGCGGCGUGCCUAUACAUGCAAGUCGAACGAACUCUGGUAUUGAUUGGUGCUUGCAUCAUGAUUUACAUUUGAGUGAGUGGCGAACUGGUGAGUAACACGUGGGAAACCUGCCCAGAAGCGGGGGAUAACACCUGGAAACAGAUGCUAAUACCGCAUAACAACUUGGACCGCAUGGUCCGAGYUUGAAAGAUGGCUUCGGCUAUCACUUUUGGAUGGUCCCGCGGCGUAUUAGCUAGAUGGUGGGGUAACGGCUCACCAUGGCAAUGAUACGUAGCCGACCUGAGAGGGUAAUCGGCCACAUUGGGACUGAGACACGGCCCAAACUCCUACGGGAGGCAGCAGUAGGGAAUCUUCCACAAUGGACRAAAGUCUGAUGGAGCAACGCCGCGUGAGUGAAGAAGGGUUUCGGCUCGUAAAACUCUGUUGUUAAAGAAGAACAUAUCUGAGAGUAACUGUUCAGGUAUUGACGGUAUUUAACCAGAAAGCCACGGCUAACUACGUGCCAGCAGCCGCGGUAAUACG
This 527-nucleotide ribosomal RNA is filed under the name Lactiplantibacillus plantarum. Its description in RNAcentral is "bacterial SSU rRNA". RNAcentral also lists the same sequence under 1 other name. Lineage: Bacteria; Bacillati; Bacillota; Bacilli; Lactobacillales; Lactobacillaceae. The record is from RNAcentral.